This 733-nucleotide ribosomal RNA is filed under the name Hungatella hathewayi. RNAcentral describes it as "bacterial LSU rRNA". It matches the Rfam family "Bacterial large subunit ribosomal RNA", at positions 1137 to 1893 of the family's 2925-position model. Lineage: Bacteria; Bacillati; Bacillota; Clostridia; Lachnospirales; Lachnospiraceae. The record is from RNAcentral.
AUAGCUCACUAGUCGAGAGGUCCUGCGCCGAAAAUGUCCGGGGCUGAAACACGACACCGAAGCUGUGGAAUUGACUUAUGGUCAAUUGGUAGAGGAGCAUUCUUAACUGCGGCGAAGCGUUACCGUAAGGAGGCGUGGAGCGUUAAGAAGAGAGAAUGCCGGAAUGAGUAGCGAGAUGGAGGUGGGAAUCCUCCAGGCCGAAUAUCUAAGGUUUCCAGAGUAAAGCUGAUCUGCUCUGGGUAAGUCGGGGCCUAAGGCGAGGUCGAAAGACGUAGUCGAUGGACAACAGGUUGAAAUUCCUGUACCGCGUAUUAUCAGAACUGUGGGGACACAGAACCGAAGCCAAACCCGGGAAUGAAAAGACCGGGGCAAGCGCCGGACUGGUUAGACUGGAAAAUCCGUUUAACAACAGGAAAGCGUGACGCGUACCGAACAAAAGUAGGGAAGUUGGUAUAGGGGCUGUCAAGAAAAGCCGCUAUUGUGUAAUACGUGCCCGUACCGUAAACCGACACAGGUGGAUGAGGAGAGAAUCCUAAGGCCGGCGGGAGAAGCAUUGUUAAGGAACUCGGCAAAAUGACCCUGUAACUUCGGGAUAAAGGGUGCCCACGAGAGUGGGCCGCAGAGAAUAGGCUCAAGCAACUGUUUAGCAAAAACACAGGUCUAUGCAAAACCGAAAGGUGAGGUAUAUGGGCUGACGCCUGCCCGGUGCUGGAAGGUUAAGAGGAGAGGUUAG